UUAUCAAAAACACAGGUCUCUGCUAAACCGUAAGGUGAUGUAUAGUGGCUGACGCCUGCCCGGUGCUGGAAGGUUAAGAGGAGUGGUUAUCUUCUGCGAAGCUACGAAUCGAAGCCCCAGUAAACGGCGGCCGUAACUAUAACGGUCCUAAGGUAGCGAAAAUCCUUGUCGGGUAAGUUCCGACCCGCACGAAAGGCGUAACGAUUUGGGCACUGUCUCAACGAGAGAC
RNAcentral lists this ribosomal RNA (229 nucleotides) under Staphylococcus aureus. RNAcentral describes it as "partial 23S ribosomal RNA". It matches the Rfam family "Bacterial large subunit ribosomal RNA", at positions 1804 to 2032 of the family's 2925-position model. Lineage: Bacteria; Bacillati; Bacillota; Bacilli; Caryophanales; Staphylococcaceae. The record is from RNAcentral.